Molecule: ribosomal RNA, 419 nt
Filed under: uncultured bacterium
Lineage: Bacteria
Description: partial 16S ribosomal RNA
Rfam family: Bacterial small subunit ribosomal RNA
Source: RNAcentral
AAUAUAUUUCAAUGGAGGCAACUCUGAACCAGCCAAGUCGCGUGAGGGAGGAAGGUCUUAUGUAUNGUAGACUUCUUUUGCAAGGGNAUAAAGUGGGGGACGUGUCCUCCUUUGCAUGUACCUUGCGAAUAAGGAUCGGCGAGCUCCGUGCCGGUGGCCGCGGUACUACGGAGGAUCCGAGCGUUAUCCGGAUUUAUUGGGUUUAAGGGGUGCGCAGGGGGGGAGUUAAGUCGACGGUGAAAUUUAGCAGCUCAACUGAAAAAGUGACUUGGAUCCUGGCUUUCUUGAGUGUGGAUGGAGUGGGCGGAAUUUGUGGUGUAGCGGUGAAAUGCUUAGAUAUCACGAGGAACACCAAUUGCGCAGGCAGCUUACUAAACCACUACUGACGCUAAUGCACGAAGGCGUGGGGAUCAAACAGG